CCUACGGGUGGCAGCAGUGAGGAAUAUUGGUCAAUGGACGAAAGUCUGAACCAGCCAUGCCGCGUGCAGGAAGACGGCUCUAUGAGUUGUAAACUGCUUUUGUAGGAGGGUAAAGGAAGAUACGUGAAUAAGUCUGAAAGGAUCGUACGAAUAAGGAUCGGCUAACUCCGUGCCAGCAGCCGCGGUACUACGGAGGAUUCAAGCGUUAUCCGGAUUUAUUGGGUUUAAAGGGUGCGUAGGCGGUCGGGUAAGUUAGAGGUGAACUCCCGAGGCUCAACUUCGGAAUUGCCUCUGAUACUGUUCGGCUAGAGCGUAGUUGCGGUAGGCGGAAUGUAUGGUGUAGCGGUGACAUGCUUAGAGAUCAUACAGAACACCGAUUGCGACGGCAGCUUACCAAGCUACUUCUGACGUUGAGGCACGAAAGCGUGGGGAGCAAACAGGAUUAGAUACCCCUGUAGUC
RNAcentral lists this ribosomal RNA (460 nucleotides) under uncultured bacterium. Its description in RNAcentral is "partial 16S ribosomal RNA". It matches the Rfam family "Bacterial small subunit ribosomal RNA", at positions 338 to 795 of the family's 1533-position model. The record is from RNAcentral.